UGGGGAAUUUUGCACAAUGGGGGAAACCCUGAUGCAGCGACGCCGCGUGAUUUAGAAGGCCUUCGGGUUGUAAAAAUCUUUUUUAUGGGAUGAAAAUGACAGUACCAUAAGAAUAAGGUCCGGCUAAAUACGUGCCAGCAGCCGCGGUAAUACGUAUGGACCGAGCGUUGUCCGGAAUCAUUGGGCGUAAAGGGUACGUAGGCGGCCCAGUAAGUUAGAAGUGAAAUAAUAUAGCUCAACUAUAUAAAGCUUUUAAAACUGCUAGGCUUGAGAGAUGGAAGGGAAAGUGGAAUUCCUAGUGUAGCGGUGAAAUGCGCAGAUAUUAGGAAGAAUACCGGUGGCGAAGGCGACUUUCUGGCCAUAAUCUGACGCUGGGGUACGAAAGCGUGGGUAGCAAACAGG
This 402-nucleotide ribosomal RNA is filed under the name Bacteroidota bacterium. RNAcentral's name for it is "Bacteroidetes bacterium partial 16S ribosomal RNA". It matches the Rfam family "Bacterial small subunit ribosomal RNA", at positions 355 to 776 of the family's 1533-position model. Lineage: Bacteria; Pseudomonadati; Bacteroidota. The record is from RNAcentral.